UGUAAUUAUAAUAGAAGCUAAUGAUAUAAUAUUGAUUAUAUUAAUCAAAUAAAGUGGAUUUAUACUUCAUAAACUUUGGAAAUAUAAAAUCUAGUGAGCAUUACUAAGGAAUGAAAAAGAGAAGCUAUGGAGUAUGAAAUAAUGGUUGGUUAAGUAACAUUACCUCAAGAACAGGAAACAGUAACUGAAACUAUGUUCUUCUACAUUUAAUCUUAAUAAGUUCAGCAGUUUGAAUGUUAAUGAGACAUUAUCAUAAACAAACUGCAUUUGUAGAUUUUGGGAAGAAUUAUAUCUUUACAAUAACUAUUAUUAUUUACAAUUGUUGUGUUAAGGAAACAAUCACUAUUUUUUUAAUCGCCCAGGAUGUAUUCAUAGUAACUGUAGGUAUCAUAGUAAUUUUAUGAAAUCAUCACAACAUCUAACAUUAGGUUUUAUGAAUUGAACAAUUUUUUGUAUAUAACAGCACACAAACAAGAUAUUGACAUUGCU
Molecule: long non-coding RNA, 489 nt
Organism: Pieris napi
Lineage: Eukaryota; Metazoa; Arthropoda; Insecta; Lepidoptera; Pieridae
Exons: 2
Source: RefSeq, a predicted model, not a curated record